This is a long non-coding RNA of Ostrea edulis (European flat oyster), 726 nucleotides long. RefSeq lists it as uncharacterized. NCBI's taxonomy places the organism in Eukaryota, Metazoa, Mollusca, Bivalvia, Ostreida, Ostreidae. The transcript has 2 exons. The record is from RefSeq and is a predicted model, not a curated record.
ACAAUCCUAAGUGAUUUUUAUAAUUGAACAAAUCUGUAAAAUUGUGUUUAAAUUCAAUGGUUUUUAUGUCUUAAUAACUUUUAUUCGCAUCCACCUCAAAUAAAGUGACAAAAGUUUUUAAAACAACUAAUCUAUGUUCUUCAUAAAUCUAAACUAAAACUUUUGGGAAUCUGCCUAUUUCAUACAAUUUGAAGUGAAUGAUUUAUGGGGGGAAAUGCAUUCUGUAACCAAGAGUUAUUUCCCUUUGAAACUCUUCAACGUGAUAAGGCAGUAAAAUUACAUAGAAACACAUAUAAUAUGGCGGGAUAAUGUCUUACUGCAUGCUGACAGAAGUUUAGACGAAGACAUGUGGCAUUCAAAAUAUUCUCUCCACUCACCCACACGAAAGAAGAAGGUGUGAGAGACAUAUCUCCGAGUACCAGCGUUCUAGUAAUACAGGAAGUGUCAUAUUGUCAUUUUGGUGGGGGCCAAGUCAGAAGCAUCAGUGUAUGUUCGAUGCUUAUGUUGCCUCAAAGGAUAUGAUAGGGUGUGGUUCAUUUAACCGGAAAGAAUUUCUAUCAGGACAGCAGAUCACAUUAUAUUUUAGUUGCCUCUAUGCCAUUGAGAAGACGAUUAGCCAUGAUGACUAUAUAUGCGCAAAAUUAGAAAAUGAAAAAGAUUGUGUGUGCUUAUCUUGUCUAUUUUGUAAUAUAUGAUUCUAAAAUAAAGGUAUACCAUUUAUAAUAG